Molecule: long non-coding RNA, 868 nt
Organism: Triticum aestivum (bread wheat)
Lineage: Eukaryota; Viridiplantae; Streptophyta; Magnoliopsida; Poales; Poaceae
Exons: 3
Source: RefSeq, a predicted model, not a curated record
GCAACCCUAGACCUCACCUCCUCUCCGCCCCUGCGCCGCUAUCCUCCUCUGCCCGCACCGCGCGAGCACCACCGACACUGCGCCUUCCUCGCUGCCGCGGCCACCGUCGUCCUCCCGCCGUUCCAAGGAGUUCGGCGGCCUCCCUACGCUCACCCUCGUCGACCUCGCCCUUGGAUCGAGCCGCUGGAGCCCGAACCACGUUGCCUCGGCCUCUUCUUCCUCGGCACCGUCCGCCACUGCCGCCUUCAAUCCGGUCAGCUCCGGCUCCGGAAAGUCGUCCCCAAGCCCGCUGCCAUCCCCUACGGCUAACCUCUCGAGAGAUCUCCACGAUAGGAUGAAACAUGGAUCGCACAACUGCAUUUUUACACAAGGCAAAGGGAAUUAACUCGAGUGAAGUCAUAGAGGUCGAGCAUAAUCCAUAUCACCCUUCUACAAGAUGUGGUGUACGGGUCUGUCAGCACAAGAUCAAACCGACCGAGGCAAGUCUACUCAAGGGAAAGGAAACUUGCUGAGCAUGAAGCAUCAACACAAGGAAGUAGAUGUAACUGCUGACUUUUUUACAUAGCCGUCAUAUCAAUGAUGCAAAAUUGACUACCUGAUCCCGUAGGUUGAAACGUUCAGCAAGAUUUCAUUGGUUGUAAGUACCAUGAUCUGAAAGUUUACAAAAUUCAGCAAUAUUUCACAUAUUGAAAUGGUAGGCUAUUCAUCUACAAAAUUAGCAGAGGAGGAUAUAGUAGAGGAGUUGCCGACGCGGCAUGGAGGUCGGAGUGGUGAGAGCCGGCUGGAACAAAAAAAAUAGAUCAAACAAGAUAUACAGUGCACCUAAUCUCAAACCAUAGAAAAAAGAUCAAGCAACUACGGGCUAGAA